CAGAGGCCACCAGAACAACGAAAGGUCCAGUUCUUCCACAGAAUGGCCAGAACACAGGCAGGUUUCCCUGCAUGCUGCCCUGCUAAUGAGCCUCAACCCUCCCUUGGGACCAGCUCUAGAGACAAGAAACCAGUUUGGUUUCUGUGCCCAUUCUGUCCUUGGCCUCU
This 167-nucleotide small RNA is filed under the name Chrysemys picta bellii (western painted turtle). RNAcentral's name for it is "TUC338 (ENSCPBG00000023314.1)". Lineage: Eukaryota; Metazoa; Chordata; Testudines; Emydidae. The record is from RNAcentral.